GAUGAACGCUGGCGGCGUGCCUAAUACAUGCAAGUCGAGCGAACGGACGAGAAGCUUGCUUCUCUGAUGUUAGCGGCGGACGGGUGAGUAACACGUGGAUAACCUACCUAUAAGACUGGGAUAACUUCGGGAAACCGGAGCUAAUACCGGAUAAUAUUUUGAACCGCAUGGUUCAAAAGUGAAAGACGGUCUUGCUGUCACUUAUAGAUGGAUCCGCGCUGCAUUAGCUAGUUGGUAAGGUAACGGCUUACCAAGGCAACGAUGCAUAGCCGACCUGAGAGGGUGAUCGGCCACACUGGAACUGAGACACGGUCCAGACUCCUACGGGAGGCAGCAGUAGGGAAUCUUCCGCAAUGGGCGAAAGCCUGACGGAGCAACGCCGCGUGAGUGAUGAAGGUCUUCGGAUCGUAAAACUCUGUUAUUAGGGAAGAACAUAUGUGUAAGUAACUGUGCACAUCUUGACGGUACCUAAUCAGAAAGCCACGGCUAACUACGUGCCAGCAGCCGCGGUAAUACGUAGGUGGCAAGCGUUAUCCGGAAUUAUUGGGCGUAAAGCGCGCGUAGGCGGUUUUUUAAGUCUGAUGUGAAAGCCCACGGCUCAACCGUGGAGGGUCAUUGGAAACUGGAAAACUUGAGUGCAGAAGAGGAAAGUGGAAUUCCAUGUGUAGCGGUGAAAUGCGCAGAGAUAUGGAGGAACACCAGUGGCGAAGGCGACUUUCUGGUCUGUAACUGACGCUGAUGUGCGAAAGCGUGGGGAUCAAACAGGAUUAGAUACCCUGGUAGUCCACGCCGUAAACGAUGAGUGCUAAGUGUUAGGGGGUUUCCGCCCCUUAGUGCUGCAGCUAACGCAUUAAGCACUCCGCCUGGGGAGUACGACCGCAAGGUUGAAACUCAAAGGAAUUGACGGGGACCCGCACAAGCGGUGGAGCAUGUGGUUUAAUUCGAAGCAACGCGAAGAACCUUACCAAAUCUUGACAUCCUUUGACAACUCUAGAGAUAGAGCUUUCCCCUUCGGGGGACAAAGUGACAGGUGGUGCAUGGUUGUCGUCAGCUCGUGUCGUGAGAUGUUGGGUUAAGUCCCGCAACGAGCGCAACCCUUAAGCUUAGUUGCCAUCAUUAAGUUGGGCACUCUAAGUUGACUGCCGGUGACAAACCGGAGGAAGGUGGGGAUGACGUCAAAUCAUCAUGCCCCUUAUGAUUUGGGCUACACACGUGCUACAAUGGACAAUACAAAGGGCAGCGAAACCGUGAGGUCAAGCAAAUCCCAUAAAGUUGUUCUCAGUUCGGAUUGUAGUCUGCAACUCGACUACAUGAAGCUGGAAUCGCUAGUAAUCGUAGAUCAGCAUGCUCCGGUGAAAACGUUCCCGGGUCU
This 1372-nucleotide ribosomal RNA is filed under the name uncultured bacterium. Its description in RNAcentral is "bacterial SSU rRNA". It matches the Rfam family "Bacterial small subunit ribosomal RNA", at positions 28 to 1381 of the family's 1533-position model. The record is from RNAcentral.